RNAcentral lists this long non-coding RNA (206 nucleotides) under Musa acuminata (dwarf banana). RNAcentral describes it as "long non-coding RNA (MACU_LNC005373)". Lineage: Eukaryota; Viridiplantae; Streptophyta; Magnoliopsida; Zingiberales; Musaceae. The record is from RNAcentral.
UGAUGUGAAAAUUGAUGUAAAGGGAGAACUACAAAAUUGUAUUCUUCCCCUCUUUUUGCCAAUGACAAAGGGGGAGAAAGAGUUGCUAAUGUGCACAUCUCAAAGAAAAAGAUGCUAGCUUGCACAAUUCAAGAAUGAAGCAAAAUUUUGCUAGCUUGCACUUUGCAAAGGAAGCAAAAAUGGCACUUCUCAAAAGAGAAUAAAUU